GCUCAAUUCCAAACGGAACUAAAGAUAAAGGAAGCCCUUCGUUCAGACAGAGUGCAAGACGCGUCUCUUUUUGAGAAAAGGCACCAGAUUAGGGGGGAACUCUUCUAUCCGUUUGGGAAGCCAUUAUCCUUGGACACUUACUUAGACCACCUAUCUCAAAUAGAAAACUAUGGGACCCACCGCAGCCUGCCUUAUAAAAGGGUUUUGAAAGCGAUUGCUCAGCAGGACUUAGCGUUGGUCUUUGACUCAAUCAAAAGAAAGAGAUACUGGUAGAGCUCUU
RNAcentral lists this long non-coding RNA (280 nucleotides) under Capsicum annuum. Its description in RNAcentral is "long non-coding RNA (CANN_LNC013053)". Lineage: Eukaryota; Viridiplantae; Streptophyta; Magnoliopsida; Solanales; Solanaceae. The record is from RNAcentral.